This is a long non-coding RNA of Siniperca chuatsi (mandarin fish), 860 nucleotides long. RefSeq lists it as uncharacterized. The record is from RefSeq and is a predicted model, not a curated record. The transcript has 10 exons. Lineage: Eukaryota; Metazoa; Chordata; Actinopteri; Centrarchiformes; Sinipercidae.
CUGCCUGAGGAGUACUCUGGCAAAAGGCAAGUGCACCUGAAGAAAAACUUCUUCCUGCACAACUGUUCAGCAGCACGUUCCGAGACCUUCAUCAACCUGCCAGAGGUGUGUAACCACUUCUGUCUUCCUCCUGGAGAAUAUCUCAUCAUCCUCUCCACCUUUGAGCCCAACAAGAACGCAGACUUUUAUGCGCUGGUGCUCUCUGAGAAGCAGGCUGAUUUCCAAGAGAUGGAUGAUCCUGUAGAGUGCCAUUUUGAAUUGAUACUGAUGAAGAUGACACCAGUGACAGGAUGUGAAGAUUUCUGCAUUUGAGCUGCAGAGAAACCUCAACUGAGGGGUGAUGAAGAGAGAUGACAUCAAAACCAGUGGGUUUAGCCUGACAACUUGCCGCAACAUGGUCAAUCUGCUGGAUAAAGAUGGAAGCAGCAAGGUGGGACUGGUAGAAUUUAAGAUCCUGUGGACAAAGAUUGAGAAUUUCCUGGUUUCUCUCUCAACAACCCUCUGCAUCAGAUCAUUGUGGCCCGCUACAGUGAACUAAACCUCACCAUUGACUUUGACAACUUUGUGGGCAGCCUGAUGCACUUAGAGUCACUCUUCAACACAUUCAAGACCCUGGACAAGGAUGGGUCUGGUGACAUAGAGUUGAGUUUUAUGGAGUGGCUGAAUCUGGUGCUGUUGUAGAGGAGCCCUGACUGUUAACAGUUGAAGAAUCCAGACUUGUGUUGAAGAGUCAUCAUAUCUGAAUAUUUGUCAGUUUGUGUCUUGUGUACAACUUAAUCAAUGGAUACUGAUCUUGAGGGGAAAGUAUUUCUAUGAGUUUGAUUAGCCACAAACAUAAUAAAGACACAAUGCCCCACAAA